ACAGAGGGGGCAAGCGUUGUCCGGAAUUACUGGGCGUAAAGCGCACGCAGGCGGCUCGUCGCGUGUGGGGUGAAAGCUGCGGGCUCAACCCGCAGUCGCCCCCGCAUACGGACGAGCUCGAGCCAUUCAGAGGUCCCUCGAAUUGCCGGUGUAGUGGUGAAAUGCGUAGAGAUCGGCAGGAAGACCCACGGGGAAGCCAGGGGACUGGGAAUGUGCUGACGCUCAGGUGCGACAGCGUGGGGAGCGAACCGGA
This 253-nucleotide ribosomal RNA is filed under the name uncultured prokaryote. Its description in RNAcentral is "partial 16S ribosomal RNA". It matches the Rfam family "Bacterial small subunit ribosomal RNA", at positions 525 to 777 of the family's 1533-position model. The record is from RNAcentral.